UUAAAACCCAAAGGACUUGGCGGUACUUCAGACCCACCUAGAGGAGCCUGUUCUAUAACCGAUAAUCCCCGUUCAACCUCACCUCUUCUUGUCCAAACCGCCUAUAUACCGCCGUCAUCAGCUUACCCUGUGAAGGACCAAUAGUAAGCUUAAUUGGCACAACCCAAAAUGCCAGGUCGAGGUGUAGCGUAUGGAGAGGGAAGAAAUGGGCUACAUUUAGUGCACCCCACUUACACACGGAAGAUAAGUUGAAACACUAUUCCGAAGGAGGAUUUAGCAGUAAGUCGGAAAUAGAGCGUCCCACUGAAGCAGGCUCUGAAGCGCGUACACACCGCCCGUCACUCUCCCCGAAAAAACCAUUAAAUACCUUAAUACCCCUUCAACCAACAAGGGGAGGCAAGUCGUAACAUGGUAAGUGUACCGGAAGGUGCACUUGGAAAAACU
RNAcentral lists this ribosomal RNA (444 nucleotides) under Choerodon azurio (Azurio tuskfish). RNAcentral describes it as "partial 12S rRNA". It matches the Rfam family "Bacterial small subunit ribosomal RNA", at positions 894 to 1528 of the family's 1533-position model. Lineage: Eukaryota; Metazoa; Chordata; Actinopteri; Labriformes; Labridae. The record is from RNAcentral.